Molecule: long non-coding RNA, 6305 nt
Filed under: Cricetulus griseus (Chinese hamster)
Lineage: Eukaryota; Metazoa; Chordata; Mammalia; Rodentia; Cricetidae
Description: lncRNA (ENSCGRG00015035104.1)
Source: RNAcentral
UAGGUUUAUAAAUAAAGUACUUGCUUGGCCAAUGAGACAGCAGGUUAGGCUAGACUAGGAGUCAAAGAGGAUUCUGGGAAAUGUAGUAGAGAAGUGAUGUUCCAGACAGGAAGUGACAUAGCAAGGAGACUCAUAUUUAAGAAGAGGAAAAAGGAAAUGUCGCUCUCUUUCCCCUCGGCUCUUGCUCCAGCGGCACGAUGUGAUCCACCAGCUAGGAGGGACGCCAAUAAGGCAUCCGAUAAGAUAAGUCUUAUAAAAUAUAUAGACGUAUGAUAAUUGAUACUGAGCUAACAGAUGAGAAUCCUAGUCAUUGGCCAAGCAGCAUUGUAACUAAUACAAGUCUCUCUGUGUAUUCAUUUGGGCCUAACUUGGGCAGGUGGCUGGUGUAAAGCUUACACGUGGCAGUGGGGCUCAGCGGCUUUUGGCAGAAAGAUUUAUUGUAACAUUUAUCGUAACAGUUGGGUCCUAUGGUAACUCUGUUCAUGCUUUCGAUAGAUAUUCACACUGGUUUCUAGAGUGGCUGAACUGAUGUAUCACUUCUAGCAUACAUAAGGGUUCUUCCUUCUCCACCCUCACAAGCACUGGCUGUUUGUAUUUUUGAUAAUGGCCAAGCUUUAUACAUUUAUAAAGCUUCCACACAGCAAAAGAGCAACCAGCCUAGCAAAGAGGCAGCCUAAAGAGCAGGGAAAAUACUUGUCAACUCUGACAGGGGAUUAAUAACCAGAACCUAGAAAGAACUCUAAAAUAUGAGUGAAAAUAGAUUAAUAUGUCUCUACCUGUGUAAGAAUAAAUUCAAAAUGGGCCAAAGACCUUAAAGAAAAACCACUUUGAAUUUAUUUUUAUGCAAGUUGAGACAUAUCAAUCUAUUUUCAUUCUUUUAUAGGUGGAUAUCAGUUUUCAAAAAAAGUAUCUUCCCCCCCAGGAUGUUUUGAUAGUUUUAUCAAGAAUUGGUUUGAUGUGAGAUGUGAGUCUAUUUAUGUGCCAUUUAUCCUAUCAGUCUAUGUAUCUAUUUUGGCACCAACACCAUGCUUUUCGUUAUGUGGCUCUUUAGUGUAAUUUGAGAUCAGGUGUCCUGAGGUGUACAGCACUGGACUUUCUGAGUUGCAUUGCUUUACUUCUUCAGGGCCUUCUGUCCCUCCUCAUGAAUCUUAAGAUCGAUAAAAUACUCUAAGAAGCAAGUCGUUAACAUUUUGAUGGGGAUUGGAUUGAAACUGUAGAUUGUUUUUAGUAAUAUAGAUAUUUUUGCAGUAUUAAUUCUGCCAGUGAGCCUGGGAGGUCUUUCCACCUUUUAGUGUCUUCCUCAAUUUCUCUCCAGUCACUGAAAAUCUUUAUCUUAGAUUGCAAGAACUGUCAUACUUUCCAAUUUUAUUUUUCUUCACUUCUUUCAUCAAAACCAACCAGUGCCUACAUAUACCAAUCUCAACAAAGAAACGUCUGUUGACUAAACAAACCAUCUUGGGAAGAAGAUGAAUUUGAAGCAAAGGAUGUAACUUUGGGAACUUAAUUGGAAAACAUACCAACCUAACAUUUGUAUUUUAGCGAAGAAAGCUUACAACUGAGAGAGUCAUGGUCAUUUAAGAAAUUCGGGGACUGAUAGAUUGUCAAUGGAAAAUUCUGAUUCACCUUCCAGGUUACCCCUGGUCAAGACAGAGGUGGUGCUUUACAGCUGCAAGUAGAAACACACACAUCAAUGGAAAAAUAUCUCUCUAUUACUGCUGCAAAUGGAAUGGAGCUGGUCUGUACCUGUAGUGACUGGGAAUGGAGCCAACCCAUACCUAUGGUGUGUCAGCUGGCUGAAAGCCAAAUUUUCUGUGGCUUUGACGGUUUUGAUUGUGUGUAACCAUAUUACAUAAAUACUCAUGAAAAACUACAGAGAUCUGUCUCCAUAUCCCCUAAAUGGUAGAUUUUAAAGAUAAAAGGCCCUUCUCUACAUUUGCACUGUGAAAAUGUAUGAAGACACAUGUAUGCAUUCCUAUGUUACACAAACUUAUAAAAUAUGUGAAUACACAAGUAUAUAUUUCAUGUGUCAUACAAUCUUAUCGGAAGCAUUGGAACGCAUGUGUCAUUUACUUUUAACCCUCCUCUGCACUGUCUUCUUCUAUCACCACAAGUAUACAAAACUCCUUUUAGGAGAAAUAAAAGCCACUGGUUUGCUAGCCCUUCUGUAGCGCUUAUAAGAUGUCAGCACCCUAUAGUGAAUUGGCGUUAUUUGCUCUCCUACUUACCACUGCAGAAAUAUUAAUAAAAUGGGUGCCCGCAAACAAAUACUCUUAACUCAUUGCCACCCGGUAGCCUUGUAAAAAUGGAAAACGUGUCAGUUUGAAGACCUGAACAUAAAAGGAAGAUGUGGUGUUGGAGACCCGUCUUGUGGGACCCUAACUCUGCCAUACUCACUCCCCCGGCCUCCUUCUGCACCAUUAUCUGAAUAAAUGAGCUUCACGGAGAGCGAUGUGACAGCAGAGAGUACACCUGCUGUGUGGUGUGACUGGUGCAGCUUAGCAAGUGGCUGCCAGGGAAGCAGUUUCCAAAAGACAGGGAGGAGAGCUGUCAAGGUUCGCUCCCUGUGAAAUUCGCCUGUCAGAGAAGAUGAUGCAUUUGGAUAUCCCACGCGCUUACUUUCCUUUUCCAGCAGUUACCCUAUCAUUUCCAAGGCUUCCACAAUUUUGCUGCGACUUAUCCUUUUAAGGGGCUUUUCCUCUCUCUCGUCUCUCCAUUGACUGUGAGUCCCGAGAGAUGAGUGACUAGAGUCAGGACAGACAGGACAACCAGCCUCCCCGGCACUCCCUAUCACCCCACUUGCCGUCACCCCACCUGUCGGUCUUUCACUUCAUCUGGAACAGGAGUGAGGUUUGACUUUGUUCAUCAGGGUCUCAACAGUGGACUUUUGUCCGGGAGCGCUCAGGAGAAGGAUGUGAAAUCUAGAGGGCAGGACAGUCGCGAACAGCAAUGGUGACAGUGAGCUCUCCUGUGGAAACUGCCUGGUUCCCUGAAACCUCACAACUUUUCUGUUUUGAACAAUAGGUGAGCCGUUGAGGCUAUAAUAGUAUUCAUCCCGAAGUGUUGGUAAAUGCUACUGUCAUUCUGGUUUAUGCUGUGGAGUCCUUGUUUACAAGCCUUGUCACAAUCUUGAGGAAGUAGAUGUCAUUAUCCUCACUUUAUAGAUGAUGUCCCUAAAAUACAGAGAAGUCAAUGGGUUGAAAGGUCUGUGUUAGAAUGAAACUUGGAUGUCUCACUCAGGGUGAUAGAGUUUUCAAUGUAUGUUUCCCAAGAAGGGCAAUUUUCAUCUCUUAGGCAUCUGGUCUGGCUCCCUCUGCACCAGUGGAGGCAGAGGGCAGGGUGGCUAUGUGGAGGAAGAAUUUCUAUGAGCAGAGGCAAGGACGCCUUUAGACCAGGGUCUCUGAUUUCAGUAGAGCUGUUCCUUUAGGGUUAUUUCACAGCUAGAAAAUAGCAGUGAGAGAAACAGAGGGCUAGAUUUAAGUAAGAGCUCUUCUCCAGUCCCGAACUGUAAGCUAUUAAAAAAAAAGUUAUACUUUCUCCUUAAUGAACUGUGUUAUGUAGGUACCAAGAAAGAGCGGCAUUCCAAUUAAAAAAGUAUUGAUUGCUCAUCUGUUAGUGUCAUCUGCUUAUAAUUAAUGGCCACCCAACUCCCGGUGGUGAUUUUCAUUGUGAGUCAUCUCAGGUCUUGCUCUUGGUUUAUGGAAUAUUCCACUGUGGUUGUGAGCUCUUUCACAUGGGUGUUUCUCUUGCUAUUAAAAUACACGUUUUCAUGCUAAUCUACAUAGCCCCACAGUCACUUUGAAUGGAAGUCAAUGGAAUUUAACACAUUCCAAUGCCUUCUCUUGCAUACUUGCAAGACCAUUUAUGUCUUCUGGGCUCUUCUGUGUAUAAACAACUAAACACUCCCAUCUAAAAAGAAAAGAAAGAAACACAAAUUCUUCAAAAGUAACAAAGCUCCAAACCAAUCAACCACUGGAAAGAAAGGCAGACAAAUAAAUAAGGACGGAGUUUGAGGCGGAUAGAUCCCACACUUAGAAUAGCAGGCUCUGGGUUCAACCUCCAGAACCAAGUUCCCAAACAAUACCUCCCCUGAUUAAAAUACAAAAGAAAGAAAGAAAAAGAAUACCCCUGCCAUCACAAUGCAAUACAACCACCCACAAAAAUGAAACCUUAAUGCCACAGAGCAGUUAGUUGUUUCUCGGCCCAAAGGCUGUUAGAAUUUGUGUGUGAGCCAAGCUCAGGGUCUAAGGAGGCUCUGUUUGGGGCCUGCAGAACACUCCAGGCCAUUGUGCUAAUUAAGUCUGAAAGGCAGACAUAUUGGGAAGCAAUCGGGGGUUGGGUUGAAGUCUGGCAGUGGAAAAAGGGGAACUGGGUAAGCUCAGAGAACACACACUUGAGGAGACAGAUGUGAUCACUGUGUGCGGCUGGGGUGGAAUUUAUCUUCCAGUUCAGUAGCUGGCCUGGCACUGUGGCCAAUCAGACAGCCUGGUGAGAAAUCAUUGCCUAGGUGUCUCUGCUAGAUUUCCUUACGGGUAAGCUACUGACAGCUUCGUUUGCUGGCAAUUUUCUUUUGCAGAGAAUUGUUCUCUCAUUUAACCAGUGUCUGUCUCCUACAAGAGAGGCAGGUUUACCACUCUAUGAGGGUGGGGGAGGGCAGAAUUUCAGGAACUAAAUGUAUCAAACGGGAACAACUGUAAGGAACCAGGACUCUCAGGCUGCCAUCCCAGCUCCAACACAAAUUGGUUGCAAAUCAUCUCAUUCCUGUUCCCCCCCUCUGAAAAAACAAAAACAAAACAAGCCCCCCCCCCCAAACCCAUUGUGUCAAGUAACUACAUUCCUUCCAUGUCUAAGAUGUAUUCUACUGUGGGCUCUAGAUAAUUUUCUCUUUCCGGUUUUUCUCAUUCACUAAAAGCUGUUGAAAGAAGUUUGUAAGGUGGGCAACCUAGAGAUUUAAGUUGGCAGGUCAUAAAUUUAAUUAGGUACCAAGAAUUCAAGUACAAAGGAUGCUUAUUACUCUCUUGCACAGGCCUUUACACGUAUGUAUACCAAAACCUUUAUCAAGCUCACACAGCUGUGGUACGGGCAUUUAGCUCAUUCUGCUUCUGUGUGUGUUACCACACUACCUGAUUAGCACAGCCAGUUGUUACUGUCAAACAAUCCAGCCAAACCAGACCACUGCUUCUCCUUCUCCCCCUCCUCUUUAUUCCCUCCUCCACUUCCUCCUCUUCUUGGUCAGGAAAAUGUCUAACUUUAUUUAUUGUACAACUCGAAUAAAGCCACUAACACACACUCUUGCUGAUAACCACCGGACACUUGGCAAGUUUCUUAGCCAACCACCCAAAGCAGGGAACCUCGGCAUUGUUUUUUUGUCUGUGUUUCUUAACUUGCCUUGAAAGAUCUGUACCCCGUGAGCAAAGUAUUCUCCAUUAUUGCUUUAGCAGCUCAGAGGUUUGCAAAUUAGGAGCAAUGCACCAUAGUGAGCCUCAACAAGACCCAGAGGCCAGUUCGCUUGAGAUUUGGAAGAGGCGUGGCUUUGCUUCUCAGAACUGUCUCCUAUUGGCUGUUUCCUAACUCAGUCAUUGAGAGCCCUCCCUCUGGUAGCUUGUUACCGGUGGGUGGAGCUACUUUAUUUCAAGUGGGCUAUAGCUUUGCUUCACCUUUUAGGAGACACCUUGGUAGCAUGUAAACACUGUGUCUAUAGGCUCAGAGAAUACGUGCCAACUUUAGUGUGAGCCUUGAGGGAUUACCCUAUCCUAAUAAACCGUCCCUAGUGCAACUGUGCAUUCGUACCUUUCCGUUCGCAAUCGGGGCAUCACUCCCUCAAGGUUUCUAUUUGUGGGAAUGCUCACCAAGUCCUACCACUGUGUGUCAGUCAGAUCCUCAGUGCCACAGAAAUUUUUUGCUUUUUCUUUGAUUGCCUCUCAAUCUCAUAGUCAUUAAGUCUUUACAAGAAACAAGGGUAGUCAACCACCCAGUUCGACUGAUUCUUUUCCUCUCAUUUCUCCCCAAAGCUAGGUGCAUGGCAGCAGCUAGUGAUGCCGGAUCCAUGGGCAUGCUGUCCUGGUGUACCGCAGAGGCAUCUUGUGAUGCUAUCUCCAGGUUCCAUCGGUACUCCAGUUGCCAUUGGUGGCAGGAUCUAAUUGUUGGCCAGGUGUUAGGAGCUCAAGCUCAAACAUCUCACAGAGGCAUCUUCUGAUGCUAUCUCCAGGUUCCAUUGGUACUCCAGUUGCCACGGGUGGUGGGAUCUAAUUGUUAGCCAGGUGAUAGGAGCUCAAGCUCGAACAACUCGGGUUAGGGACUUUGUAGCG